Molecule: transfer RNA, 64 nt
Filed under: Geomydoecus aurei
Lineage: Eukaryota; Metazoa; Arthropoda; Insecta; Psocodea; Trichodectidae
Description: tRNA-His
Source: RNAcentral
UUAACAAUAGUUCAAUUAGAACAUUUGCUUGUGGUGCAAAAGAUGAGGCCAGCCUCUUGGUAGG